RNAcentral lists this ribosomal RNA (489 nucleotides) under uncultured bacterium. RNAcentral's name for it is "bacterial SSU rRNA". It matches the Rfam family "Bacterial small subunit ribosomal RNA", at positions 31 to 507 of the family's 1533-position model. The record is from RNAcentral.
GAACGCUAGCUACAGGCUUAACACAUGCAAGUCGCGGGGUAACAUCUGGGAGAGCUUGCUCUUCCAGGAUGACGACCGGCGCACGGGUGAGUAACGCGUAUCCAACCUGCCCUUCACCACGGAAUAAUCCAGUGAAAAUUGGUCUAAUACCGUAUGAGGUCAUACGAUGGCAUCAGAAUAUGACGAAAGGUUUAGCGGUGAAGGAUGGGGAUGCGUCUGAUUAGCUUGUUGGCGGGGUAACGGCCCACCAAGGCAACGAUCAGUAGGGGUUCUGAGAGGAAGGUCCCCCACAUUGGAACUGAGACACGGUCCAAACUCCUACGGGAGGCAGCAGUGAGGAAUAUUGGUCAAUGGGCGAGAGCCUGAACCAGCCAAGUAGCGUGCAGGAUGACGGCCCUAUGGGUUGUAAACUGCUUUUAUAAGGGAAUAAAGUGGGUCUCGUGAGACUUUUUGCAUGUACCUUAUGAAUAAGGACCGGCUAAUUCCGUG